RNAcentral lists this small nuclear RNA (112 nucleotides) under Solanum tuberosum (potato). The record is from RNAcentral. Lineage: Eukaryota; Viridiplantae; Streptophyta; Magnoliopsida; Solanales; Solanaceae.
AUUCCAUGAACAACCAGGAAAUAACAAAUAAAACUGGAAUGACAUAAAGAAGAUUAGCAUGCCUAUGGGCAAGGAUGACAUGCCCAAAUCAAGAAAUAACAAAUAAAAUCUU